RNAcentral lists this ribosomal RNA (481 nucleotides) under uncultured bacterium. RNAcentral's name for it is "partial 16S ribosomal RNA". It matches the Rfam family "Bacterial small subunit ribosomal RNA", at positions 28 to 507 of the family's 1533-position model. The record is from RNAcentral.
GAUGAACGCUGGCGGCGUGCUUAACACAUGCAAGUCGAACGAAGCAUUUGCGACAGAUUUUUUCGGAAUGAAGUUGCUUAUGACUGAGUGGUGGACGGGUGAGUAACGCGUGGGUAACCUGCCUUGUACUGGGGGAUAGCAGCUGGAAACGGCUGGUAAUACCGCAUAAGCGCACAAUGUUGCAUGACAUGGUGUGAAAAACUCCGGUGGUAUAAGAUGGACCCGCGUCUGAUUAGCUAGUUGGUGAGAUAACAGCCCACCAAGGCGACGAUCAGUAGCCGACCUGAGAGGGUGACCGGCCACAUUGGGACUGAGACACGGCCCAGACUCCUACGGGAGGCAGCAGUGGGGAAUAUUGCACAAUGGAGGAAACUCUGAUGCAGCGACGCCGCGUGAGUGAAGAAGUAAUUCGUUAUGUAAAGCUCUAUCAGCAGGGAAGAUAGUGACGGUACCUGACUAAGAAGCUCCGGCUAAAUACGUG